UCCGGGCCAUGUGUCACUUCCGGGCCCCAGGAGGAAGAGGGUUGGUUGACUAGGCAACCACCUGGCGUCCCUUCUACCCUGGGUCGCUCUUCCGCCAAGUUUAAGUGAUGUGGCGAAAACCUUUCAAGCCUGGACAGAGACUUAAUCUUUCUUACAGAGUGUCGUUUAUCAACUAUCAGUGGAACUUUCGUCUGCUACUAGAGUGGGAGAAGUUUAAAUAUGGAGAUGUUAUUUAAUGACCCUCAGUCAAGGAACAGACCUUGAACAUAAUGUGGAAACAGCCAUGUGGAUUUCAAAGAUAUCUUGGAUCCAUUCUCUGUUUUUUUAAACAUGUCACUAAUCCUGUUUUAGUCUCUAAGGAAUCCACUCCUGGGAUGAGGUUUUCUGGCCUGAAGCACGUUAGAAUAUUUAAGUAUCUCUGUGCUUUUGAAUCUAUAAAUUUAUUUCUGUCUUCUGAGUCCAUAUGAUUGAUAGGACAGGUCUCUUGAGGGGAGGAGAAUUAACACUAAUUGCUUACUGUAUAGCAAUCACUGUGCCAGGUCCAGGCCAUUAUAUAAAGUAAAAACUCAUUUCACAUAUAAAUUAAAAUUUACAAACAGUUUAAAUAACUUGUCCAGCUAAUGAGCUGUAGAAGAUUUGCCUGCCACUUCAGAUGAACAUCCUUGUUUGCAAACUUUUAAAAUUUUAAAAGAAGAGCCGUCCAAUAAUAUUUUCUAUAGACAUGGAGCACAUAUGUGAAUGAUAAACUAAAAAUGAUCAUGUGUACUUAAGAACUGUGUAUGCAACCUUUUUAGUUUUUCAAAUAAUAACACUGAAGUUUGUGAAGCUUGUAGUUUUUUACAUUUCUUUAAAGGCACAGGUUUGUCGUCACAAAAGUUAAGCUAUUUGAAGUUAGGGAGGGAAACUAGAAUUUGUUGACAGGGAAAUCUGCUAUCUGAUCAUCUGUAAUUGUCAUAAGUAGCUCUGGUAACAUGAGUAAUAUUGUAGGCCUUACAAGAUUGAGAAAUUAUAAAAAUCCUCAGCUCCAUUAAGAUUUUGAUUAAUUUCAAGAUUAAUAUAAAAAUAGUGAUCUAGUUUUCACUCCAUGCACAUGGUUACUGAGCUCAACAAUUUUAUAUUUAUAAACUUUAUAAACUUUCAUGUUUUUUAUUAUUUUACUAGUUCUUAAGUAUUUUCUGUGUUUGGAUCUAAUACUUAAUAGCAAUAUAUUAAGCAAAUAUAGUGAUACAUUUAAUAGAUUAUAUAGGCAAUCAAAGAAAUUUCCCACCUAUUUAAGACACUUUCAGAAAUUACUGAAGAACCUAUAAAAUAGAGAAAGAAGAAAAUUUCACAAUUAGAUGAAGUAUUUAUUAUGGGGUAGGGUUAUUAGAGAACCUUUGUUUUUGUUUCAGUAUUCUCAUUCAUAAUUUCUUGGGUAAACAACCUUUGAACUAAAAUUUAAUGCUUUAUUUCAGCUGCCUUUCCUGUGGUUUAUAGAAUGUGCUUAAACUGGAAUUAGAUAUACAGAUUGGCAUUGUUCAGAGUCUGGGGUUCUUACAUGAGUUUCAUUUUCUUCACAUGUAGCAAUGAUGGCUUCCUCUGAUUGCUGUAGGGGUUAACUGAGAAAAUCUUUACCACAUAGAAGGGGCUAAGUAAAGAAACAUUAAAGGAAAUUGAUGAUGUCUAUGAAAAAUAUAAAAAAGAAGAUGAUUUAAACCAGAAGAAACGCCUACAGCAACUUCUCCA
Non-coding RNA from Microcebus murinus (gray mouse lemur), 1725 nucleotides. The record is from RefSeq and is a predicted model, not a curated record. Lineage: Eukaryota; Metazoa; Chordata; Mammalia; Primates; Cheirogaleidae.